RNAcentral lists this ribosomal RNA (800 nucleotides) under Brevibacterium sp. JSM 2185006. Its description in RNAcentral is "bacterial SSU rRNA". It matches the Rfam family "Bacterial small subunit ribosomal RNA", at positions 38 to 848 of the family's 1533-position model. The record is from RNAcentral. Lineage: Bacteria; Bacillati; Actinomycetota; Actinomycetes; Micrococcales; Brevibacteriaceae.
GGCGCCUGUGUGAUCCCCAUGCAGUCGACGCUGAGCCGACAGCUUGCUGUUGGUGGAUGAGUGGCGAACGGGUGAGUAACACGUGAGUAACCUGCCCCUGAUUUCGGGAUAAGCCUGGGAAACUGGGUCUAAUACCGGAUACGACCACCUGACGCAUGUCGGGUGGUGGAAAGUUUUUCGAUCAGGGAUGGGCUCGCGGCCUAUCAGCUUGUUGGUGGGGUAAUGGCCCACCAAGGCGACGACGGGUAGCCGGCCUGAGAGGGCGACCGGCCACACUGGGACUGAGACACGGCCCAGACUCCUACGGGAGGCAGCAGUGGGGAAUAUUGCACAAUGGGGGAAACCCUGAUGCAGCGACGCAGCGUGCGGGAUGACGGCCUUCGGGUUGUAAACCGCUUUCAGCAGGGAAGAAGCGAAAGUGACGGUACCUGCAGAAGAAGUACCGGCUAACUACGUGCCAGCAGCCGCGGUAAUACGUAGGGUACGAGCGUUGUCCGGAAUUAUUGGGCGUAAAGAGCUCGUAGGUGGUUGGUCACGUCUGCUGUGGAAACGCAACGCUUAACGUUGCGCGUGCAGUGGGUACGGGCUGACUAGAGUGCAGUAGGGGAGUCUGGAAUUCCUGGUGUAGCGGUGAAAUGCGCAGAUAUCAGGAGGAACACCGGUGGCGAAGGCGGGACUCUGGGCUGUAACUGACACUGAGGAGCGAAAGCAUGGGGAGCGAACAGGAUUAGAUACCCUGGUAGUCCAUGCCGUAAACGUUGGGCACUAGGUGUGGGGGACAUUCCACGUUCUCCGCGCCG